This 260-nucleotide long non-coding RNA is filed under the name Elaeis guineensis (African oil palm). RNAcentral describes it as "long non-coding RNA (EGUI_LNC069554)". The record is from RNAcentral. Lineage: Eukaryota; Viridiplantae; Streptophyta; Magnoliopsida; Arecales; Arecaceae.
CUAUGGGUUCUAGGGUUUCAACUCUAGGUUUUGUGAGAAGAAAAUACAAGAGUGAGUCUUGUCCAAUCUUUGACACUACCACCUCCUUGUAAAGCUUUAUCUUUUGAUCUAAAAAAAUUUAGGAGAUCCAAAGAAAAUAAUAUGAAUCAGCCAUCCAGAGCCUUCAACGUGAGCUAGCACUCCCAGAAAGGAAGAUCCAAUCAGGGCUUCGAGUGGAUGAUCUGUAGAUGUCGGAUGACCUGUGCAGCUGCUCAAUAUCA